RNAcentral lists this ribosomal RNA (1322 nucleotides) under unidentified marine bacterioplankton. RNAcentral describes it as "bacterial SSU rRNA". It matches the Rfam family "Bacterial small subunit ribosomal RNA", at positions 1 to 1375 of the family's 1533-position model. The record is from RNAcentral.
UUAGAGUUUGAUCAUGGCUCAGAACGUACGCUGGCGGCACGCCUAACACAUGCAAGUCGAACGAAGUAGCAAUACUUAGUGGCAGACGGGUGAGUAACAUGUAGGUAUCUGCCCUUUGGCCUGGAAUAACACGAGGAAACUUGUGCUAAUACCGGAUAAGUCUUUACGGAGAAAGCUUUAUGCACCAUUGGAUGAGCCUGCACUUGAUUAGUUUGUUGGUAGGGUAAUGGCCGACCAAGACUGUGAUCAAUAGCUGAUUUGAGAGGAUGAUCAGCCACAUUGGGACUGAGACACGGCCCAAACUCCUACGGGAGGCAGCAGUGGGGAAUCUUGCACAAUGGAGGAAACUCUGAUGCAGCGAUGCCGCGUGAGUGAAGAAGGCCCUUGGGUUGUAAAGCUCUUUCGUCGGGGAAGAAAAUGACUGUACCCGAAUAAGAAGGUCCGGCUAACUUCGUGCCAGCAGCCGCGGUAAUACGAAGGGACCUAGCGUAGUUCGGAAUUACUGGGCUUAAAGAGUUCGUAGGUGGUUGAAAAAGUUGGUGGUGAAAUCCCAGAGCUUAACUCUGGAACUGCCAUCAAAACUUUUCAGCUAGAGUAUGAUAGAGGAAAGCAGAAUUUCUAGUGUAGAGGUGAAAUUCGUAGAUAUUAGAAAGAAUACCAAUUGCGAAGGCAGCUUUCUGGAUCAUUACUGACACUGAGGAACGAAAGCAUGGGUAGCGAAGAGGAUUAAAUACCCUCGUAGUCCAUGCCGUAAACGAUGUGUGUUAGACGUUGGAAAUUUAUUUUCAGUGUCGCAGCGAAAGCGAUAAACACACCGCCUGGGGAGUACGACCGCAAGGUUAAAACUCAAAUGAAUUGACGGGGACCCGCACAAGUAGUGGAGCAUGUGGUUUAAUUCGAAGAUACGCGCAGAACCUUACCAACACUUGACAUGUUCGUCGCGACUUUAAGAGAUUAGAGUCUUCGGUUCGGCCGGACGAAACACAGGUGCUGCAUGGCUGUCGUCAGCUCGUGUCGUGAGAUGUUGGGUUAAGUCCCGCAACGAGCGCAACCCUCACUUUUAGUUGCCAUCAUUAAGUUGGGCACUCUGAAAGAACUGCCAGUGAUAAGCUGGAGGAAGGUGGGGAUGACGUCAAGUCCUCAUGGCCCUUACGUGUUGGGCUACACACGUGCUACAAUGGUAUCUACAACAGGAAGCAAGACUGCGAAGUUAAGCAAAUCCUUAAAAGAUACCUCAGUUCGGAUUGCACUCUGCAACUCGAGUGCAUGAAGCUGGAAUUACUAGUAAUCGUGGAUCAGCGUGCCACGGUGAAUGCGUUCCC